AAAGCGUGCGCAGGCGGUUUUGUAAGACUGUCGUGAAAUCCCCGGGCUCAACCUGGGAAUGGCGAUGGUGACUGCAAGGCUAGAGUUUGGCAGAGGGGGGUAGAAUUCCACGUGUAGCAGCGAAAUGCGUAGAUAUGUGGAGGAACACCGAUGGCGAAGGCAGCCCCCUGGGUCAAAACUGACGCUCAUGCACGAAAGCGUGGGGAGCAAACAGGAUUAGAUACCCUGGU
This 230-nucleotide ribosomal RNA is filed under the name uncultured bacterium. RNAcentral describes it as "partial 16S ribosomal RNA". It matches the Rfam family "Bacterial small subunit ribosomal RNA", at positions 562 to 791 of the family's 1533-position model. The record is from RNAcentral.